RNAcentral lists this long non-coding RNA (326 nucleotides) under Homo sapiens (human). RNAcentral describes it as "non-protein coding lnc-FOXB1-2:2". Lineage: Eukaryota; Metazoa; Chordata; Mammalia; Primates; Hominidae. The record is from RNAcentral.
GUGUUUGUAUUUCCUUUCAGAGUGAAGAUAUCCUCAAAUGUCUAGUGAUCCUUAACUGUCUGUUCACCUUUAAGACUACAGCACUAAAAAUCUGAUUGGAAGUUCUGAUAUAUGAGUUGGGUUGCCAACUCUGGGUCUUACCCCAGUCCUACAUUCACUGCCACUUCCAGAAAUAUCUGGUAUCACCAAUUCAUGAGCCCACUGGAGGUUUUGAGGUGCAAGUCUGGAUGAUGUAUUGGCUUUUCCUGCCAGAAUAGAAACUCCACAAAAACAGUGAUCUUGGUUUUGUUCAUUGAUGAAAUCCAAGGACUUAGAAGAGUGCCUGG